RNAcentral lists this ribosomal RNA (725 nucleotides) under Aureobasidium sp. RF-2017a. Its description in RNAcentral is "eukaryotic LSU rRNA". It matches the Rfam family "Eukaryotic large subunit ribosomal RNA", at positions 94 to 835 of the family's 3401-position model. The record is from RNAcentral. Lineage: Eukaryota; Fungi; Ascomycota; Dothideomycetes; Dothideales; Saccotheciaceae.
UGAAGCGGCAACAGCUCAAAUUUGAAAUCUGGCCCUUUCAGGGUCCGAGUUGUAAUUUGUAGAGGAUGCUUUUGGGCAGCCACCGGUCUAAGUUCCUUGGAACAGGACGUCAUAGAGGGUGAGAAUCCCGUAUGUGACUGGACAGGCACCCUUUGUAAAGCUCCUUCGACGAGUCGAGUUGUUUGGGAAUGCAGCUCUAAAUGGGAGGUAAAUUUCUUCUAAAGCUAAAUACCGGCCAGAGACCGAUAGCGCACAAGUAGAGUGAUCGAAAGAUGAAAAGCACUUUGGAAAGAGAGUUAAAAAGCACGUGAAAUUGUUGAAAGGGAAGGGCUUGCAAUUAGACUUGCCCGCAGUUGUUCAGCUGGUCUUCUGACCGGUUUAUUCUUCUGCGGGCAGGCCAGCAUCAGUUUCGGCGGCCGGAUAAAGGCUCUGGGAAUGUGGCUGCCCUUCGGGGCAGUGUUAUAGCCCAGGGUGUAAUACGGCCAGCCGGGACUGAGGUCCGCGCUUCGGCUAGGAUGCUGGCGUAAUGAUUGUAAGCCGCCCGUCUUGAAACACGGACCAAGGAGUCUAACAUCUAUGCGAGUGUUAGGGUGUCAAACCCUUACGCGUAAUGAAAGUGAACGGAGGUGGGAACCCGCAAGGGUGCACCAUCGACCGAUCCUGAUGUCUUCGGAUGGAUUUGAGUAAGAGCAUAGCUGUUGGGACCCGAAAGAUGGUGAACUAUG